UACGAGGGGGGCGAGCGUUGUUCGGAAUUAUUGGGCGUAAAGGGUGCGUAGGCGGUUUGGUAAGUCUUAUGUGAAAUCUACAGGCUCAACUUGUAGUCUGCAUGAGAAACUGCCGGGCUUGAGUAUGGGAGAGGUGAGUGGAAUUCCUGGUGUAGCGGUGAAAUGCGUAGAUAUCAGGAGGAGCACCUGUGGCGAAAGCGGCUCACUGGACCAUAACUGACGCUGAUGCACGAAAGCGUGGGGAGCAAACAGG
RNAcentral lists this ribosomal RNA (253 nucleotides) under uncultured bacterium. RNAcentral's name for it is "partial 16S ribosomal RNA". It matches the Rfam family "Bacterial small subunit ribosomal RNA", at positions 524 to 776 of the family's 1533-position model. The record is from RNAcentral.